This 93-nucleotide transfer RNA is filed under the name Mycobacterium paragordonae. RNAcentral describes it as "tRNA-Pro". The record is from RNAcentral. Lineage: Bacteria; Bacillati; Actinomycetota; Actinomycetes; Mycobacteriales; Mycobacteriaceae.
ACCACCGACGGCGGGCCGGGCGCGCGUUCGGCGUCGGGAUCGUCGGGGUCGGCAGCAUCGGCGUCGGCAUAGUUCAACCCGAUGCGGUAGCAC